RNAcentral lists this ribosomal RNA (1372 nucleotides) under uncultured bacterium. RNAcentral's name for it is "bacterial SSU rRNA". It matches the Rfam family "Bacterial small subunit ribosomal RNA", at positions 28 to 1381 of the family's 1533-position model. The record is from RNAcentral.
GAUGAACGCUGGCGGCGUGCCUAAUACAUGCAAGUCGAGCGAACGGACGAGAAGCUUGCUUCUCUGAUGUUAGCGGCGGACGGGUGAGUAACACGUGGAUAACCUACCUAUAAGACUGGGAUAACUUCGGGAAACCGGAGCUAAUACCGGAUAAUAUUUUGAACCGCAUGGUUCAAAAGUGAAAGACGGUCUUGCUGUCACUUAUAGAUGGAUCCGCGCUGCAUUAGCUAGUUGGUAAGGUAACGGCUUACCAAGGCAACGAUGCAUAGCCGACCUGAGAGGGUGAUCGGCCACACUGGAACUGAGACACGGUCCAGACUCCUACGGGAGGCAGCAGUAGGGAAUCUUCCGCAAUGGGCGAAAGCCUGACGGAGCAACGCCGCGUGAGUGAUGAAGGUCUUCGGAUCGUAAAACUCUGUUAUUAGGGAAGAACAUAUGUGUAAGUAACUGUGCACAUCUUGACGGUACCUAAUCAGAAAGCCACGGCUAACUACGUGCCAGCAGCCGCGGUAAUACGUAGGUGGCAAGCGUUAUCCGGAAUUAUUGGGCGUAAAGCGCGCGUAGGCGGUUUUUUAAGUCUGAUGUGAAAGCCCACGGCUCAACCGUGGAGGGCCAUUGGAAACUGGAAAACUUGAGUGCAGAAGAGGAAAGUGGAAUUCCAUGUGUAGCGGUGAAAUGCGCAGAGAUAUGGAGGAACACCAGUGGCGAAGGCGACUUUCUGGUCUGUAACUGACGCUGAUGUGCGAAAGCGUGGGGAUCAAACAGGAUUAGAUACCCUGGUAGUCCACGCCGUAAACGAUGAGUGCUAAGUGUUAGGGGGUUUCCGCCCCUUAGUGCUGCAGCUAACGCAUUAAGCACUCCGCCUGGGGAGUACGACCGCAAGGUUGAAACUCAAAGGAAUUGACGGGGACCCGCACAAGCGGUGGAGCAUGUGGUUUAAUUCGAAGCAACGCGAAGAACCUUACCAAAUCUUGACAUCCUUUGACAACUCUAGAGAUAGAGCUUUCCCCUUCGGGGGACAAAGUGACAGGUGGUGCAUGGUUGUCGUCAGCUCGUGUCGUGAGAUGUUGGGUUAAGUCCCGCAACGAGCGCAACCCUUAAGCUUAGUUGCCAUCAUUAAGUUGGGCACUCUAAGUUGACUGCCGGUGACAAACCGGAGGAAGGUGGGGAUGACGUCAAAUCAUCAUGCCCCUUAUGAUUUGGGCUACACACGUGCUACAAUGGACAAUACAAAGGGCAGCGAAACCGUGAGGUCAAGCAAAUCCCAUAAAGUUGUUCUCAGUUCGGAUUGUAGUCUGCAACUCGACUACAUGAAGCUGGAAUCGCUAGUAAUCGUAGAUCAGCAUGCUACGGUGAAUACGUUCCCGGGUCU